GAUGAAGAACGCAGCGAAAUGCGAUAAGUAGUGUGAAUUGCAGAAUUCCGUGAAUCAUCGAAUCUUUGAACGCACAUUGCGCCCCCUGGUAUUCCGGGGGGCAUGCCUGUCCGAGCGUCAUUGCAACCCUCAAGCGCGGCUUGUGUGUUGGGCCCUCGUCCCCCGUGGACGUGCCCGAAAUGCAGUGGCGGCGUCGUGUUCCGGUGCCCGAGCGUAUGGGGCUUUGUCACCCGCUCUUGAGGCCUGGCCGGCUCCGGCCCAUCAACCAUCGAGGACCCGUUCCUCAACCAGGUUGACCUCGGAUCAGGUAGGGAUACCCGCUGAACUUAAGCAUAUCAAUAAGCGGAGGA
RNAcentral lists this unclassified non-coding RNA (350 nucleotides) under soil metagenome. Its description in RNAcentral is "partial contains 5.8S ribosomal RNA, internal transcribed spacer 2, and large subunit ribosomal RNA". The stretch from base 1 to 120 matches the Rfam family "5.8S ribosomal RNA", at positions 35 to 154 of the family's 154-position model. The record is from RNAcentral.